Molecule: unclassified non-coding RNA, 382 nt
Filed under: fungal sp.
Lineage: Eukaryota; Fungi
Description: partial internal transcribed spacer region
Rfam family: Eukaryotic small subunit ribosomal RNA (bases 1-46)
Source: RNAcentral
AAGUCGUAACAAGGUUUCCGUAGGUGAACCUGCGGAAGGAUCAUUAUAAAAUAAAACAAAGCAAUCUUUGCUUUUAUAAAUAACUAUUUUAUUAGAUUAGGUAUCUAGUUAAUAGCUAUUUACCGAAAUAAUUUAAUAUACUAUUGUAGAGCUUUUAGGUUUACCCUAAUAAUCUCUAUAAACCAAUAAAUCAAUAAUCCUUUAAAUUACUAGUCUAAUUAUUUAGAUAAAUAAUUUAAAGUGGUAUAGAAAGUGAGGAGUACUAUUAGAUAUAAUAUUUUAUAUUGAUAUAGGAGACUCAUGCAAAACUUUAUAACCAGAAUUCAUUUUACAUUUAUUUAAUAAAAACAAAUAACUUUUAACAAUGGAUCUCUUGGCUAAU